AUUGAACGCUGGCGGCAUGCCUUACACAUGCAAGUCGAACGGUAACGGGCCUUCGGGUGCCGACGAGUGGCGAACGGGUGAGUAAUGCAUCGGAACGUACCUUUCAGUGGGGGAUAACGUAGCGAAAGUUACGCUAAUACCGCAUAUUCUGUGAGCAGGAAAGCAGGGGAUCGCAAGACCUUGCGCUGAUUGAGCGGCCGAUGUCAGAUUAGCUAGUUGGUGAGGUAAAGGCUCACCAAGGCGACGAUCUGUAGCGGGUCUGAGAGGAUGAUCCGCCACACUGGAACUGAGACACGGUCCAGACUCCUACGGGAGGCAGCAGUGGGGAAUUUUGGACAAAUGGGGGCAACCCUGAUCAGCCAUGCCGCGUGAGUGAAGAAGGCCUCGGUU
RNAcentral lists this ribosomal RNA (390 nucleotides) under uncultured bacterium. Its description in RNAcentral is "bacterial SSU rRNA". It matches the Rfam family "Bacterial small subunit ribosomal RNA", at positions 30 to 424 of the family's 1533-position model. The record is from RNAcentral.